UUGUAGAGUAGAUUGUUUAUGUACAAGGCAUUCCUUGAUGAAUUCAUGGUGACUUCUACAAACAGAAAACUAUACCUUAUGGAUUACUGUCCACACCUGUUCUUAGAUGAUGGUGGAUUUAAAAGUCAUUGGGUUGUUGUUCAGUUUAGCACAGGUGUUAAGGCAACAUAUUGAAAGAAGCACAGAAACUUUCACAGGCAGGAAGUGCAUAUGGGAUGUAGGUCAAAAGGAAUCUAGACCUAAAGAACUUGGUGGAUAAUGGAGAUGGACUAUUAGCUGAGACUAGCCCUUCUGCUACUGCGGAUCAAAUUUAUUUAACACAUAAUUUACUAAUUUAAUCCUUCCUUUGAUGCUUUAUAUCAGUUAAUUUUAUGAAUGGACUUGCUGUUUGUGCAGCAGGUAGGAUCGGAGUCCUAGAGCUUAAAUGUUCAUACAAAUGCUGUAUAAUAGAAAUUGCACAUUAAACCAUAUUUGUAAUGAAAAUUAAAUACCAUUUAAUUUGGUAUAAUUUGUACAAGUUCUACUUUUGUAAUCUCAAACAUUUACA
Long non-coding RNA from Saccostrea echinata, 547 nucleotides. RefSeq lists it as uncharacterized. Lineage: Eukaryota; Metazoa; Mollusca; Bivalvia; Ostreida; Ostreidae. The record is from RefSeq and is a predicted model, not a curated record. The transcript is spliced from 3 exons.